This 304-nucleotide non-coding RNA is filed under the name Chloroflexota bacterium. RNAcentral describes it as "Chloroflexi bacterium T-box sequence". It matches the Rfam family "T-box leader". Rfam says of the family: Uncharged tRNA acts as the effector for transcription antitermination of genes in the T-box leader family. T-boxes are found upstream of many aminoacyl-tRNA synthetase genes and some amino acid biosynthetic genes usually in Gram-positive bacteria. The anticodon of a specific tRNA base pairs to a specifier sequence within the T-box motif, and the NCCA acceptor tail of the tRNA base pairs to a conserved bulge in the T-box antiterminator hairpin. The record is from RNAcentral. Lineage: Bacteria; Bacillati; Chloroflexota.
AGAAAGACGUUGACGAGGACGAGUAAGCUCCGCCCGGACGGUACAGAGAGCAGGAAAUAGUGAGAACCUGCCCGCACAGCGCAGUUGAAUGGACCUAUGAGUUGCAGGGUGAACGCUUACGAGAGUAGCCAGUAGCCCGCGCCGGGUAUGCCACCGUUAUCAAGGCAAAGGGUAUCGCCACCAUUGAGCAGGCCGUACCCGAAAAGAGUGAGGCUGGCCGUUCCCUUUGUGCAUCACAAAGGGAUUUUUUAUUCAAACAGCAGCCUAACCGGGGUGGCACCGCGGAUUUAUGUUCGUCCCCACG